This 348-nucleotide unclassified non-coding RNA is filed under the name uncultured fungus. Its description in RNAcentral is "sequence contains ITS1". The stretch from base 1 to 105 matches the Rfam family "5.8S ribosomal RNA", at positions 50 to 154 of the family's 154-position model. Lineage: Eukaryota; Fungi. The record is from RNAcentral.
AAAGUGCGAUAAGCAAUGCGAAUUGCAGAAUUCCGCGAAUCAUCAGAUCCUUGAACGCAACUGGCGCUAGGAGGCUCUCCUCCUAGCAUGUCUGUUUCAGUGUCUGAAAACAUCCAAGUUUAACUUAAUGUGGUUGAUGAUGAGAUUGAUAAAUUAAUAUAUCUUUCUCAGAAUCUCCCAUGAAAGAUGUGCAUGUGGGUCUUUGGACUCCUCAUCGAAUUGGUCACUGUCCUCAGUGAUUUCGAUAGGAGAUUAUUAUUCAAUUACCUAAAUACAUGUAGAACUUUAACAAAAAAACCUCCUCAAACUCUGCAUCUGAAAUCAGGCAAGAACACCCGCUGAACUUAA